Platichthys flesus (European flounder) is the source of this 384-nucleotide long non-coding RNA. RefSeq lists it as uncharacterized. The record is from RefSeq and is a predicted model, not a curated record. NCBI's taxonomy places the organism in Eukaryota, Metazoa, Chordata, Actinopteri, Pleuronectiformes, Pleuronectidae. The transcript is spliced from 3 exons.
CGACACGAGCGUCCUGGAGGUAUGCAAAGCUUCCCUCGGCUGGAUGUUCGGCAAGCCGGAGAUUAACUUUGACCUCCAGCUGGACCAAUCAGAGCUGUGUGCCGUCCGCAGUGACUCCCUCAAGGACAAGCAAGCUCUCCAGCAAGACGAGACAUUGACACACUGGGAUGGAUGAACUUUGACCUCCUGCUGGACCUAGCAGAGAUGAGCACCAUCGACCUGGACAAGAAUGAGCUGUGCAUGAAGCCUCUCUUCCAACUCCUCUCCUGUGAGAGUCCUUCAGGGUCGGCAAGCUGUCCUACAACGAGUGGUGUUACUGCUUCCAACAACCUGGGGGUUUGACCCGCCAAAGUAGCAGAAAUGUGUUCCAGACGCAGUGGAGGG